Molecule: long non-coding RNA, 678 nt
Filed under: Homo sapiens (human)
Lineage: Eukaryota; Metazoa; Chordata; Mammalia; Primates; Hominidae
Description: non-protein coding LINC01138:46
Source: RNAcentral
UGGGCGAGAGGAUCCUCUUUGAGCGAAACCAGCCUUCUGCCUGGCUGGCCCUGGUCAACACACUCGGAAGAGGCCGAUUUGGAGGACAGAACGGAAGAAAAGACCUAAAGAACUGACACAUUUGUGCCUAGCAUAGUGAUGCUGUUGUCUGCAGAAGGGUCACAGCCUUCAGGGACUCUCCUGCCAGUGCUGUAUUUUGCCUGCACCCCUCUGGCUUGGCUUCUGCACUGAGACCCUCCUAACAAGUGAGCACAAGCAAGACACUAUGAUCCUCAUCCAAUCACUUAAAGGCCUGAAUAGAACCAAAAGUCUGACCUGCCCAUGAGUAAGAGAGAGCUCCUUCUGCCUGAUUGCUUCAGCUGAGAUAUCAGCCUUUUCCUGCCUUUGGAAUUGAACUGCAACACUGGCUCUUCCUGGGCCUCAAGCCUGCCAGCUUUUGAACUGUAAUCACACCAUCAUCUCUCCUGGUUCUCAGGCCUUUGGACUCAAAUCAGAAACACACCAUGGGCUCUCCUGUGUCUCAAGCUUGCCAACUGUGAUCUUGAGACUUCUCAGCCUCCAUAAUCACAUGAGUCAAUUGUUGGUUCUGUUUCUCUGGAGAACCCUAAUCCAUCACUUUACAUAUUUCUUCCAUUACACAUAUUGUUUCCCAGCAUAUUAAAUAAUUUACUGAUUAUA